RNAcentral lists this long non-coding RNA (2414 nucleotides) under Homo sapiens (human). RNAcentral describes it as "HSALNT0159941". Lineage: Eukaryota; Metazoa; Chordata; Mammalia; Primates; Hominidae. The record is from RNAcentral.
CAAAGAGGUGCUUACUGCCAUGAUUAUAAGUUUCCUGAGGCCUUCCCCAGCCCGGCAGAACUCUCAUUUGGCAGAAUGCUGAAGCCUUACUGGUCUGAGGUGUCAGAGGUCAGAGCCUGAGACUGACAGAGGAGCCACAGGUGACCAGCAAACUGCAGAAGCUCUGGGGAGAACUCCAUGGAGUCAGGCUAAAAACAGCAGCAACCAGAAACUGUAAGAACUGAGCAGAGAUACCAGCUGCACCACUAGAGAGACAAAGUGUGUAGCUCACUGCCUAGUACAGCAAAAUAGCCACAAUCCUCAGAAGGACACAACAGAAUCUGGAAUCACUAGAAAGUAUUAUCUACAAUGCUCAUUCUUAACCAUGCAAAGAAGAAACAGGAAAGUGUGAUUCAAAGUCAGAAAAAAGUCAGUCAAUAGAAAUCUACUCUGUUAGGGACAGGUGUUGGUGAAUUAAGUAAUUAGAGACUCUAAAGCAGCUAUGAUAAAUAUGUUCACAGAGGAAAGCUCAAUAGAGAAAUGAAACUUCAAACAUGGAAAUUUAAGACUUGAAAAGUACAAAAACUAGAAAGAAAAAUUUACUAGGUGGACCAAACGGCAGAUUAGAGAUGCCAAAAUUGCAUAAAUUGAACAGAGAUCAAAAGACGUUAUUUAAUCUAAAAAAUUGAAGAAAAAUGAGCAGAGCCUUAGAGUCCUGUAAAAUAUCAAGCAAGAUAACAUAUAUGUAAUUGGGUUCCGGAGGGAGAGAAGGAAUGGAAAAAAAUAUUUGCAUAAAUAAUGACUGAAAAAUUCCAUGAUUGGCAGAAAACACUAAUUUACAGAUCUAAGAAGGUCAAGCACCCCAAGCAGGAUAUAUAAUUAUAUCACUUCCAUGCAGAAGAGAAAUGCAGAAAGCCAAAGAUAAAGAGCAAAGUGUUGAAAGCAGCCAAAGAAAAGUGACACAUCACGUACAGGAAAAUAGUUCAGCUCAAUGGCUGAAUUUUCAUCAGAAAUACUGGCAUUCAGAAGAAAUUUAAAAAUGCUGAAAACAAAACUAGCAGCCAAGAAUUUUGUAUCAAGCAAAAAUGUCUUUUCAAAAUUAAAGGCAAAAGGAAGCAACUUCCAGAUAAAUUUAAAAGACAGAAUUUAUGCCAUUAUAUUUACACUGUAAGAAAUGCUAAAUGAGGUUCUUCAGGUUGAAGGGAAAUGACCCUGAUGACAACAUGGAUCUACAGGAAAAAAUGAAAAGCAUCAGAAAUCAUACAUAUGUGAGUAAAUAUAAAAUACUAAAUAUUGAUAGAUGAAUAUAUGGAUAGGUACUACACAAACACAUAUGAACAUAUAAUUCUUAAUAUCUUAACACAUGAUAUAGGACUCUUCAAAACAAAAAAUUAUUACAUUGUAUUGUUGGGUUUGUAAUGGACACAGAUAUAAAAUAUGUAACAAUAUUAAGAGUAGGAAAAGUAGAGAUACAUUGUUAAAAGGUUCUAGUAUUUUACUUGAAGUAGUUCAAUAUUAACUCUAGACUAUUAUAAGUUAAAGUUAAGUUGCGUAUUGUAAUCACUACAGCAACCACUAAAAAUAGAACAAAGAAAUACGGCAAAAAAGCCAAGAGACGAAUUAAAAUGUAACACUAAAGAAAAAAAAAAAACACUACGGGGGGCCGGGUGCAGUGGCUCAUGCCUGUAGUCCCAGCACUUUGGGAAGCCAAGGCAGGAGGAUCACCUGAGGUCAGGAGUUCGAGACUAGCCUGGCCAACAUGGUGAAACCCCUCCCCCCAACCAAAAAUACAAAAAUUAGCUGGAUGUGGUGGCACGUGCCUGUAAUCCCAGCUAGUUGGGAGGCUGAGUAGGAAAAUCACUUGAACCCAGGAGGCAGAAAUUGCAGUGAGCAGAGAUCGUGCCACUGCUCUCCAGCCUGGGUGACAGAGCAAGGCUCCAUCUCAAAAAAAAAAAAAAAAAUUAACACUACAAAAGGCAGGAAGAGAGGAACUGUGGAAUAAAACAGAUCAGACAAAUAUAAAUGGGAAGCUUAACUAUAACCAAAUCAAUAAUCAUAUGAUAAUUGAAAACUAAUCAAAAGGUAAUUAAGUGGAAACUGACAUAUUAAUAUGUGUUCAGUCCAUAUACAUAUAUUAUCUCUUUAGUUCCUUUUAAAAAGUGUUUUAUAUUUUUCAGUGUAUAGAUUUUGCAAAAAGUUUGGUAAAUUUAUCCCCAUGUAGUUCAUAUUUUAGGAAGGUAUUAUAAGUUCAAUUGUACUUUUGCUGUUUUGUUCAUUGCUCACAUAUAGAAAUAUGAUAAAUUUUUAUGUAUUGAACUUUCAUCCUUUGACCUCGAUAGAUCUAUUUAUUAGUUCUAGUAAGUUUCUGUAGUCUUCUUAAGAUUUUCUGUAUAAAUGGUCAUGCAAUCUGAAUAAAUACAGUUUUACGGCUUCCU